Molecule: ribosomal RNA, 253 nt
Filed under: uncultured Flavobacterium sp.
Lineage: Bacteria; Pseudomonadati; Bacteroidota; Flavobacteriia; Flavobacteriales; Flavobacteriaceae
Description: partial 16S ribosomal RNA
Rfam family: Bacterial small subunit ribosomal RNA
Source: RNAcentral
UACGGAGGAUCCAAGCGUUAUCCGGAAUCAUUGGGUUUAAAGGGUCCGUAGGCGGCCCCGUAAGUCAGUGGUGAAAUCUCCCGGCUCAACCGGGAAAUUGCCAUUGAUACUGCAGGGCUUGAAUUAUUGGGAAGUAACUAGAAUAUGUAGUGUAGCGGUGAAAUGCUUAGAUAUUACAUGGAAUACCGAUUGCGAAGGCAGGUUACUAUCAAUACAUUGACGCUGAUGGACGAAAGCGUGGGUAGCGAACAGG